Small nucleolar RNA from Ornithorhynchus anatinus (platypus), 138 nucleotides. Lineage: Eukaryota; Metazoa; Chordata; Mammalia; Monotremata; Ornithorhynchidae. The record is from RefSeq and is a predicted model, not a curated record.
ACCUUCUUAGGAUUUUGCCUGGAGAGUUUCCAGUAUUCUACCAGUCUCAAAUACAGGAGGUAGAGUCAAGCAGAGGCACACCCAUUCCAUUCCUAGCUUGGACAGUAGUUAGCUAGUGGAAGGCGAUCCGCUACAAGU